AAAGCAAGAACAAAGGAAGAAAAAGAAAGAACAAAAUCCUAGGUGGAAAAAUUCAAGGGAAAAGUAUAAAAAUUCAAGGAAACAAGUGAUAAAAGGUAAGAUUUUUCAAUUCUAGCUUGUGAUCUACCUUUCUUAAGCAUUUUUUCUUAUUUUCCAUGGUUGAAUCACAAGAUAUCAUGAAGGAUAGUGUGCUGAUCAAACCCUAGGAGAGAGAAUUUGAUGAUGAUUUAGAUAGAUUUUUAAGAUAUAAGGAUGUUUUUAGUUGUUUAUGGUGUUAAGUGUAAGAAUUAAGCUUGAAAUUCACAUAUUCCUCAUGAGUUCAUCAUUGGCCGAAUCUUCCUUGUAGAGUGUUGAAGGUGGAUUUGAUUUUAUUUCAAGUAAAUUGGUUAGGAAAUGAUGAAUUAUGGUGAGAAAAUCAAGUAGGAAAAAUCAUAAUGUUGAUGCACUCACCAUGGCCGAAAUUCUCAAGAAGAAAUGUAAGGAUGAUUUUGCCAUAUUUCAAGUUAUUUAACUUGUGUUUGAUGGUUUGGAGAAUUGGAAGAAAGAUGGAAUUAUUUGGAGUUGAAUUGGACGUAUUGGCCAAUUAAUCGGGUGAUAGAUCGAAUUAGGCCAAUAUCGUUUUAUUUAGGUACAUAAUUGAAUUUACAUUGAACACCAUAUUUAGAUAGUUACUCGAGUAUUUCACAUCCCAUUUCAUGCAUUAGUAUAGAGCCUGAAUUGGUUUUAUAACAAUUUAGCAUAAAUGUAGUAAAUGGCUUAUUGUGCAUUAUGUUUAAGUGGUGAGCAUUCUGACAAAAGUAAAGAGAUAGUACCCGAGGAUCAAGAAUCGAAGUACUCAAAAUUCGACUCCCGAAAUAGUGAGUAACCUUAUCAUCAUCUUGAUUAUCUGAAGUGAAUUUUAAUUCGUUUUUUUGAUUUUAUGGAAACUGAGUUUAAAUGGUAAAUUUUUAAGUUUUAUAAACAAAAUGUAUUUAAAUGAAAUGAUUUUAUAAAAUUGUCUUGAAAUUGAAUGAUGGCUUUGAAAAUGGAGUAAUUGGAGACUAGUUGUUGUGUUAUAAAUCAUGGUUUGAAUUGAAUGGCUUAUGAUAAUAUUGGCAUGAAUGGCUAAAUUGGUAUUUGUGUUGAAAAUGUAUGAACUGUUAAUUUGCCUUGAGAGGCUGUAAAAUAAAAUAAUUGCCAUGUCAUGUUGUUGAAUUUUAUUGAAUUGGUGGGUUAUAAAUUGGUCGCUGUAGUGGACGGCUUUCGUGGACCAGCCUAUUAGAGGGGCACGGUAACCCUAUUAUAUUCAUACCUUAGUAUGAGAGGCGCGGUUGGAUAACUCCUGAGGUUAAAACUUUAGAGCUCACUUCACGCCAAACCACCACGUGAGGGUGAACUCAGCCAACGCCAAUGAAAGACUAUGCUUUCAAAAUAAAAACAUGAUUUAUGGGUACAUAACUUUUUAACAGCCUUGGCGGUCUCGAUUGGGAUAGCCCUCGGCCAAGGUAUCCCUAAUAACUGAGUAUGAGAAUGAUUUUAGCACAAGCCAAAGUUUUAAGAAAUUCAUAAGCCAUGUUGAUUACUCGAUUUAUAUGAAUUGAUUUUAUUUGGUUGAAAUGAGUUGAAAGGUGAUGAAUUACAGUAUGUUAAACUAUUUUAUCUAUCUCUAUUUACUCAGCUUUAGAUAUUUUAGAUGGUACUUGUUUACUCACUGGGAUUAUAUAAUCUCACCACCCGUAUUUUCACCCAUUUUAGGCUCAGGAUAGUCGGUAGAUAGCUCAUUUCGUUGAGAGCUAUAGUUGGACUUGCAUUCUCAAAAACUUAGGUUUACUGCUUUUGAUACUUUUAGUAGUUCGUGGGCCCAUGUGUCACUGUAAAUUAAAUUUUAUACUUUGGUUAUCUGUAUUACAGUAUGUAUGAAUUUAUUUAGCUUUUACGCUACAAAAAUUAUUUACUAGUAACUCUAUAAAUAUUGUUUUAUAAGAAAAU
RNAcentral lists this long non-coding RNA (1968 nucleotides) under Theobroma cacao (cacao). Its description in RNAcentral is "long non-coding RNA (TCAC_LNC000442)". The record is from RNAcentral. Lineage: Eukaryota; Viridiplantae; Streptophyta; Magnoliopsida; Malvales; Malvaceae.